This 293-nucleotide ribosomal RNA is filed under the name uncultured prokaryote. RNAcentral describes it as "partial 16S ribosomal RNA". It matches the Rfam family "Archaeal small subunit ribosomal RNA", at positions 455 to 747 of the family's 1478-position model. The record is from RNAcentral.
GUGUCAGCAGCCGCGGUAAUACCGGCAGCACGAGUGAUGACCGCUAUUAUUGGGUCUAAAGCGUCCGUAGCUGGCCACGCAAGUCUAUCGGGAAAUCCGCGCGCUUAACGCGCGGGCGUCCGGUGGAAACUGCGUGGCUUGGGACCGGAAGACCAGAGGGGUACGUCCGGGGUAGGAGUGAAAUCCCGUAAUCCUGGACGGACCACCGGUGGCGAAAGCGCCUCAGGAGAACGGAUCCGACAGUGAGGGACGAAAGCUAGGGUCUCGAACCGGAUUAGAAACCCCCGUAGUCC